Molecule: long non-coding RNA, 1109 nt
Organism: Strigops habroptila (Kakapo)
Lineage: Eukaryota; Metazoa; Chordata; Aves; Psittaciformes; Psittacidae
Exons: 2
Source: RefSeq, a predicted model, not a curated record
AUUGCCGGGGCCGUGCCAGCCGUUCUCGGCGCUACCCGGGCUGGAAGAGCAUGGCGCGCAGGGGAGUUGGCGGUCGCGCUGCGGUUGAGCGGAGCAGAGCCCGGCUGAGCAUCCUUUCCGUUGUGCAGUGGGGAUGGUGUACAGAGCUGUUUCAUUGUGAGAAAAGCCCCAUAAUUGCUUGACUAAUCAACACGAGGUAACUUGCUGCAAACGGGCCUUGCUGUGUCCUCAGCAGGUUGCUUUUCAGUACUGCACAGCUCAGCGUUCCCAUCUUCUGAGGGGACAUAAGACUGCCUGUACUAUCUACUCUUUUCUGUGAGCUCUAAUAAAUAACAGUUUAAGUGAUACUUCUUGGGGUCUGAGUGCCUACCGUGGUGGGAUCACCACAGGCCAGCUACUGCUACUACUAUUGUAACUACUACUACUCCCUGCUGUAACGGGUGAGGAAGAGAGCACCCGUCAACGUGGAGGAUGUGGGAGCUGGAUGCAUGCAGCAAAGGUGUGAAUAGACAAUCUGAGAGAAGAGGAAGUUCAUACCUUCUGGAUUCUACCUGGAUCAGGGGUAAUAUUAGCAGUAUCGAUCAAGAGAAGUGAUAAUUGUCUCUUGGUGGAGGGGAAAAGAAUAAACAGGUAAUGUUUAAUAUCUAAAACAUGGAAAAGAGCUAGAAGAGAAAUUGUUACAAAAAAGUCCAAAAUUACCUGGAAUCCACUAGUGCUGCCUGUGUCCUUAAGCCCGUUUGCUAUUCUGACACCAUCAUAUCAAAUGUUGGCUGUGGCCCUUCGUGGCGGCCUUAUUCCUGCUGUCUACUCUGACUGCCCAUACAGCACACAGCACUUUCAUUCAGGUUGCCAAGAGAGAUACAUGGCAUUACUGCAGUAUUUUGCAAGGAGAGGCAUUACUUAACUGAGUGGGAAGGCUGUAUCUAGUGUUUUCCUCUGUUGCACAUUCUCUUGCUGAAAUUCUAUUGUUGGACAUCUGAAAUUAGCAUUUCUUAGAGCUGUACCAACUCAGUCUUUCUGUAGUGUUAUGGCUUUAAUGGCAGUGGUAGACUGUGUAUCAACAGAGGCUAGACUUUUGGAGCCAUGAAAUAUUUAUGAGCUAUCAAAAA